UAUUUUGCUAUCUUAUUGGGGUAACAUAGAGCCAAAUGGGGCAAGGUUGGCGUAUCAUCAUCUGAUGAAAGUACAGCACUGCCGCUGUUUCCACACUAAGAAUACUCAUAACCUAUCCCAACCUGAGUGGACAUAUAAAUUCAGAGGGAAAAAUCACAAACUAUACUAUACCGAUACAGCUAGAUAUCAAGAUUCUAAGGACACAAUGUCUAAACUAAAUUACCCAACAAACAGUUUGAAUCAUGAAUAGAAUAUAGUUAACAUAACCCCCCAUGCAAACGGUCAUCACGUAUCAGCUAGUAAGAAAGGAGGGAACAAAUCUUGAUUAACAGAACAAUGGAGCACCAUCUUUAGAGAUUGUACAAACUGUAAAACAAAACAAAAAACGGUCAGAGUAAAAAAACAUGACUGGAUAUAUAUACAGCUGGAUAUCAAGAUUCUCUGGAGAAAUGCUUAAACUAAAAUACUAAUAAAAAAUGAAUCAUGGGCCAUUCAAAAACAACUUCAUAUAGAUAUAUACCCAACAAAGAGUUUGAAUCAUGAAUAUGCAAUGCACAUCGCUGACAUGACCCACCAUGCAAACGAUCAUCAUAAAUACCUUUGGAACCCACAACUCAACAUAAACAUGACAAAGACAAACAUGUAUACCAAAUAGCAUCUGAAAACAUAUCAGGGAAGAUAAUUUUCUGGCAGAACCAAGCAUGCGUAUGCAACUAUCUAAAUAUAUGUGCUAAACAGCCACUGGAAACAUUGCUAUAGAACAGACCGGAUAAAGCAAUUUCCACACAGAACAAUGCAUGCAUGUUUGCACAACCAAUCAAACACAUGUAUAGAAUAUAUACUGACAAACAAUUAGUCUAGAAAGACUAACUAUGCCGGAGCAAGUUGAUCAUGAAACUCCAUACCAAGACAUCUCCAGAUUUUUCCGGAAAUGAGAGUUCAGUAAGCUACUACCUUCAGCCUCCUAACUGAUUUGAGAGCAACAUUUAUUAGUUUUUAGAAACAUGAAAAAAACAUUAGGCACAUUUGAAUAAACAUUUAAGAGAAGGGAACUGCAAAACGAAAUUCAGUAAACAGAAACGCCACUAUAGCUCAUGACUAAAUUGACUCUCUUUCAGUAAAAAGUAGGAAAGUGUAACCACCUUAGUAAAAAUAGAAUGAGCAUGCUACCAUGCCCUUGCGCAGGUUCAAGCUACAUUCGAAGAAGGGACGUCUAUUGAACAAAAACUGGGUCGAUAGUAUUUUGCAAUAGCUAACUAUGCAACUUUUCUCCACGAACAUGAGAUAAUUUAAAUGGCAGGAUCAUGUUUGUUUUCCCCUUAUUUUCAGUUGGAUUGUAAUAACUCAGCAGCAAAGAGUACACCACAGUGGUUUAGUCUACUAAUCUGAUUCAAUUCAAGAAUGGGUAGCCUAUUCUCUUGUAUAUGUCAGCAAGCUCUUUUUUGUACUCAAGUCAAAACUAAGCAUAAAUACCUACUCACCUACAUAAGUUGUUGUUGCACAUGCCCAUGUAUUUGGUGCAAGUUGAGGCCUCCUUUAAGUAACAUUAUGACCACUCUUCAAGU
Molecule: long non-coding RNA, 1565 nt
Filed under: Triticum aestivum (bread wheat)
Lineage: Eukaryota; Viridiplantae; Streptophyta; Magnoliopsida; Poales; Poaceae
Description: long non-coding RNA (TAES_LNC005206)
Source: RNAcentral